CGGUAGCUAAAUGCGGAAGAGAUAAGUGCUGAAAGCAUCUAAGCACGAAACUUGCCCCGAGAUGAGUUCUCCCUGACUCCUUGAGAGUCCUGAAGGAACGUUGAAGACGACGACGUUGAUAGGUCGGGUGUGUAAGCGCAGCGAUGCGUUGAGCUAACCGAUACUAAUGAACCGUGAGGCUUAACCUUACAACGCCGAAG
RNAcentral lists this ribosomal RNA (200 nucleotides) under Enterobacter cloacae. Its description in RNAcentral is "partial 23S ribosomal RNA". It matches the Rfam family "Bacterial large subunit ribosomal RNA", at positions 2743 to 2925 of the family's 2925-position model. Lineage: Bacteria; Pseudomonadati; Pseudomonadota; Gammaproteobacteria; Enterobacterales; Enterobacteriaceae. The record is from RNAcentral.